RNAcentral lists this ribosomal RNA (429 nucleotides) under Gemmatimonadota bacterium. RNAcentral's name for it is "Gemmatimonadetes bacterium partial 16S ribosomal RNA". It matches the Rfam family "Bacterial small subunit ribosomal RNA", at positions 355 to 776 of the family's 1533-position model. The record is from RNAcentral. Lineage: Bacteria; Pseudomonadati; Gemmatimonadota.
UAGGGAAUCUUCGGCAAUGGACGAAAGUCUGACCGAGCAACGCCGCGUGAGUGAAGAAGGUUUUCGGAUCGUAAAACUCUGUUGUUAGAGAAGAACAAGGACGUUAGUAACUGAACGUCCCCUGACGGUAUCUAACCAGAAAGCCACGGCUAACUACGUGCCAGCAGCCGCGGUAAUACGUAGGUGGCAAGCGUUGUCCGGAUUUAUUGGGCGUAAAGCGAGCGCAGGCGGUUUCUUAAGUCUGAUGUGAAAGCCCCCGGCUCAACCGGGGAGGGUCAUUGGAAACUGGGAGACUUGAGUGCAGAAGAGGAGAGUGGAAUUACAUGUGUAGCGGUGAAAUGCGUAGAUAUAUGGAGGAACACCAGUGGCGAAGGCGGCUCUCUGGUCUGUAACUGACGCUGAGGCUCGAAAGCGUGGGGAGCAAACAGG